GGACCCGUAGCUCAGCCAGGAUAGAGCGCCGGCCUUCGGAGCCGGUGGUCCCGGGUUCAAAUCCCGGCGGGUCCG
Molecule: transfer RNA, 75 nt
Filed under: Stygiolobus azoricus
Lineage: Archaea; Thermoproteati; Thermoproteota; Thermoprotei; Sulfolobales; Sulfolobaceae
Also listed under: 4 other names
Description: tRNA-Arg
Rfam family: tRNA
About the family: Transfer RNA (tRNA) molecules are approximately 80 nucleotides in length. Their secondary structure includes four short double-helical elements and three loops (D, anti-codon, and T loops). Further hydrogen bonds mediate the characteristic L-shaped molecular structure. tRNAs have two regions of fundamental functional importance: the anti-codon, which is responsible for specific mRNA codon recognition, and the 3' end, to which the tRNAs corresponding amino acid is attached (by aminoacyl-tRNA synthetases). tRNAs cope with the degeneracy of the genetic code in two manners: having more than one tRNA (with a specific anti-codon) for a particular amino acid; and 'wobble' base-pairing, i.e. permitting non-standard base-pairing at the 3rd anti-codon position.
Source: RNAcentral